GACGUGUCAGGGCUGUCAGAGGCCAGUGCUGAAAUCUGUAAGACGUUCCAGGCUGCAAACCCGGCGGGGCGGCUGAGGGUCCCGGCGGGAAUUCCAGCGCGCACACGGGUCUGGAGUGUCUCGAGCCUCGGCCCGACCCUUGAUCGCCCUCCGAGUUCACUUUGUGUCGAUCUUGCAGGCUCACUCAACUCGCCCGGCUUCUGUCCUUUGGCUCCUGAAGUCAGUCCCUCGCACCUCUGGGACAAUUCGUCGCGGGGCAGGGAGAGGCCAGGGGCACCUCGGCAGACCGGCGAGCGAGCCAGCGUGCCCACGCUGGGUGCGCGCACAGAACAGCACAGAACGUGGGGCAUUUCCUGCCGUUGGACACGUCACACGCGGAGUGAAAGCGAACGCGCUUUCUGAAAUGUGGCUUCUGUCUGUGUCCCGAUCACCCCAAGGGUUGACCAGGAUGUCCACUGCAACAUUCAACAGAAACAGUGACAGGGCUGUCCUCAUCUUGUUCUUAUCUUAAAGCUAUUAAUUUCUGAGAAUGACCCGUUGAAAUUUCCGAUUAUGGGGCUCGCAUUGUGGCAUAGCAGGUGACGUGGCCAUCUGCAAUGCCGGCAUCUCACGUGGGUGCCAGUUUGAGUCCCAGCCGCUCUGCUUUGGAUCCAGCUUCCUGCUAAUGGCCUGGGAAAAGCAGUGAAAGAUGGCCCAAAUGCUUGGGCCCCUGCACCCAUGUGGGAGAUCCAGAUGAAGCUCACGGUUCCUGGCUUCAGCCUGGCCAACUCUGCCCUUUGUGGCCAUCUGGGGAGUGAACCAGCAGAUGGAAGGUCUCUCUGUCUCUUCCUCUCUCUGUGUAACUGAUUUUCAAAAUAAAUAAAAAAAUCUAAAAAAACACAAUUCUGACAAAUUUUGUGUUCUUUCAUUUCAAGUAUCUCUCUUGUGGCCCCUCAUUUUUUUAAAAUCUUAUUUUAUUUUAAUUUUUUCAAAAGAUUUAUUUAUUUAUUUGAAAGGCAGAGUCACAGAGAAGCAGAGAGAGAGAGAGGGGCCUUCCAUCCACUGAUUCAUUCCCCAGAUGACCACAACGGCCAGAGCUGUGCUGAUCUGAAGCCAGGAGCCAGGUGCUUCUCCUGGUCUCCCAUGGGGUGCAGGGCCCAAGCACUUGGGCCAUCCUCCACUGCACUCCCGGGCCACAGCAGAGACUGGCCUGGAAGAGGGGCAACCGGGACAGAAUGUGCGAUAUGAACCCGGUGUACAGGCGCCACAAGGCGGAGGAUUAGCCUAGUGAGCCGCGGCGCCAGCCUCCUAUUGGAUAUUGACAUGCUUUCUGCCCUUCCAAUCUUCGAAUUUUUAAACACAUUUUAAAGCAUGUCUCUUUCCUGUUGCUUACUGAAGAGUUCCUCUGUCGAAUCUUGCUGAUUCUUUCUUCUGAGAUUCUAUUCCAUCUGUUGUGUUCCUUGUUUUACUUCUAAUGUACUUCAAACUCAACUGAUCUACUUUUUUCCCUAUGAUUUUUGUUUCUUAUUUUUUGGCCCUAAUAGAACCCAUUCUUUGUCUCUGAAUCUGUGACCUGUUUCCUGAAGAUUUUUGGUGCGUCCGUUUUGAUUUGCGGAGGUGGUCUCUGUGGUUCAGCCUCCUGCUUGUUGGCUAAGGGAAGCUCUCCAGUUUCCUGGAGUUCCGUGUGUCCAGUGAAUGGCUGCUGCCCCGGUGGGUCCCGGGUCUGGGGCAGGGGAGACAGGCCCGGCACACCCUGCGAGCCUUGGGGAGAGGGCAGUGGUAGAGAACCAGGCGUCUGACGUGACUUGAGUCAUUCCUUUUCCUGGAGCGAGCUCUGCCAGACAACUCUGCUUCAGGAAUUCCUCUUUGAACUGUUGGAAGGAAGCAGCCCUGGGAGAAGGCAGUUUCCUUAGCUGGUGUGGAAUGGCCGUGCGUGUGUGUGCGCGCGUGCAUGUGUGUGUGUGCGCACGCGCAUGCGUGUGCGUGUGUGUGUGCACAUGUGUGUGUGCGUGUGUGCAUAUGUGUCCAGGUCUGCGCUAUCAGCAGGACUGUCGUGCUGCUCCGACGGCACAGUCUCAGUCUCACGUGGGACAGGCUGGGCUGUUCAUUUCUCUGGAGACAGCAUAAACAAAAUAUAAAUGUCAUAAUUUGGAUGAGGCUAUGUAUAAUUACAUGCUAUAUGUGUAUGUAGACACAUUCAAAUAAAAUGAGCUGAUAGUGGUUUCUUCGU
Molecule: non-coding RNA, 2209 nt
Organism: Oryctolagus cuniculus (rabbit)
Lineage: Eukaryota; Metazoa; Chordata; Mammalia; Lagomorpha; Leporidae
Source: RefSeq, a predicted model, not a curated record